Molecule: ribosomal RNA, 468 nt
Filed under: uncultured bacterium
Lineage: Bacteria
Description: partial 16S ribosomal RNA
Rfam family: Bacterial small subunit ribosomal RNA
Source: RNAcentral
GACGAACGCUGGCGGCGUGCUUAACACAUGCAAGUCGAACGGAAAGGCCCUGCUUUUGUGGGGUGCUCGAGUGGCGAACGGGUGAGUAACACGUGAGUAACCUGCCCUUGACUUUGGGAUAACUUCAGGAAACUGGGGCUAAUACCGGAUAGGAGCUCCUGCUGCAUGGUGGGGGUUGGAAAGUUUCGGCGGUUGGGGAUGGACUCGCGGCUUAUCAGCUUGUUGGUGGGGUAGUGGCUUACCAAGGCUUUGACGGGUAGCCGGCCUGAGAGGGUGACCGGCCACAUUGGGACUGAGAUACGGCCAAGACUCCUACGGGAGGCAGCAGUGGGGAAUAUUGCACAAUGGGCGGAAGCAUGAUGCAGCAACGCCGCGUGCGGGAUGAAGGCCUUCGGGUUGUAAACCGCUUUCGCCUGUGACGAAGCGUGAGUGACGGUAAUGGGUAAAGAAGCACCGGCUAACUAAGUG